Long non-coding RNA from Cannabis sativa, 1578 nucleotides. RefSeq lists it as uncharacterized. NCBI's taxonomy places the organism in Eukaryota, Viridiplantae, Streptophyta, Magnoliopsida, Rosales, Cannabaceae. The record is from RefSeq and is a predicted model, not a curated record. The transcript is spliced from 2 exons.
CAUUCCUAGCUAAAAUUUUUAGUCAUAUUGACACACCAUUCUUUAGUAGGAGAGAGGUUUAUCCUCCAUGCACUAUAUCCUUAGCAUGUUCAUUAAGUACUGUAAUGGUAUACUUUUUUCUUCGAGAAAUAGACAAUGUCUAGGAGUAUCGAAUGGCUACUUUAGAGUUUUAGUGGCAUAUAAUGUUUUCUGAUAUGUGAUUUAAGUCAAUGCAAAACCAGUGAGAAUCAUUUAAAUGUGUAACCAACUUUGAAUUCAUCUCUUUCAUCCCAAUGUGGAAGUAGUAGUGUAGCAACAGGAACUAGAGCUGGGCUUUUUGGAACACAUAUUUCAGCUCAUGGUUUACCGCCUCCCCUAGCCUUAAUUAGUCGUUCGUAAUCUUAUGGAGCGGGCCAGGUUUGCUUAUUUAUGCACAGCACCGUAAUGUCUUGAAUGCACCAUCGGCAUGAAGGAUUGGUACGCUCGUAGAUUUUGCACCUGAUCUUGCACCUCUCAUGCAAAGUCGCGGCAAGAUUUAUAAUACGAGAGUGAUUCUGAGUACAUAUGUCGGGCUCGUGAAACUGAAGCAUGUAAUAGCCAAAGAUAGAAUACCAAAUUUUAUUUUCAUUCAAUAGUCAAUACUUUAAUAUUUUACCCACCAUACUAAUACAAUAAUUUCCCAAUAUUUUUCCAUUCAACUAUGCCAGUUUGGAUGUACAAAUUCCUUCCCCAAUUUUUCUAACAAAUCAUUCCCCUAUUUGCAAGUUUUUUUCCAUGGUGAUGAAACACUUCAUCUUGGAGCUCAUUAGAUUUUCUCAGCAAUCCCGAGACUAAUUACAAUCUCUGCUUUAUCACACAUUGGCCGAUCAACCAUCCUCCUAACAUGGUCUAAGCAGUUGACUUAAAAAAAAAAAAAAAAAAAGAAAUCACUUCUCAUUCUACGAGUGCCCCUCUCCUUAAUCCCUGCACAAUUGAUAAACAAUCAGUAAAAAAACUGAUAUUAGUCCAGCCACAUGCAUGAGUAAAAAUAGGUGCAUGAGAGCUUCAGCUUCUAAAGGGCUCAACUCAUGGAAUUGCACAAGAAAGCCUCCAUAACAUUCCCCUGUUGAAAAUCAGAAUAGCUCCCAAUCUUAGAAGCAAGUAAUCAUUCAAUUAAAACAAAAUUACUAUCUCAAAGUAACAUCCUGCAGUCUUAACAGUAAGAACAAAAAAACAUGUGGGAAAAGUGAUGAGGUGAGACCACCAAUUUCAAGUCGCUCUACUAAUGAAAACAGACAUGUUUCUAAAUCCAAGUCUCUCCAUAUUCCAUCCAAAAACACAAGAAGAGGGAGAGAUAAGUUAAGGAUAUAUCAUUCCAAAAAUAAUGCUAUGAAUAUCCCCCAUAGUCUAUUUCCAAGGAGAACCAUAACAAAAGUUGUUAAUGGAAUGAUGUGAGGUAAAAUAGCAAAAUGUCACUAAACAAUUUUGAGAGAACCUGCAAGUGUUUGGGAACGGGUCGGAGGGCUAAGCUUCGGCAGCUUUGGGAUGCUUGCGACGGAGGCUCGACUGGGGCAGCUCGGAACACGGCGUUAAUGGAGGCAAAAUAGAGGCUCGAUUGUU